RNAcentral lists this transfer RNA (76 nucleotides) under Desulfovibrio desulfuricans. RNAcentral's name for it is "tRNA-Val". It matches the Rfam family "tRNA". From Rfam's summary of the family: Transfer RNA (tRNA) molecules are approximately 80 nucleotides in length. The record is from RNAcentral. RNAcentral also lists the same sequence under 14 other names. Lineage: Bacteria; Pseudomonadati; Thermodesulfobacteriota; Desulfovibrionia; Desulfovibrionales; Desulfovibrionaceae.
GGGCAGUUAGCUCAGUUGGUUGAGCACCGCCCUUACAAGGCGGGGGCCACAGGUUCAAGUCCUGUACUGCCCACCA